Non-coding RNA from Xyrauchen texanus (razorback sucker), 393 nucleotides. The record is from the annotation of a RefSeq genome assembly. NCBI's taxonomy places the organism in Eukaryota, Metazoa, Chordata, Actinopteri, Cypriniformes, Catostomidae.
GAUACAAAACCAACAAACACAAAAAUGAAUUUCUUCAUCUUUAUUUGGAUUCUGGGAGCUUUUAUUCCAGAAUCCAGAGGAGUCACUGUAACUCAGACUGAAGUUGUGACUAAAACUGCAGGAGAAGAAGUCACUAUAAAGUGUAAAACUGAUCCUGGAAUAUAUAGUGAUGGUUUAGCUUGGUAUCAGCAGAAACCUGGAGAAGCUCCAAAACUCAUCAUAUAUGACAUAAAAACUCGGUAUGGUGAUAGUUUUCAGCGAUUCACUGGAAAAGGACAAAAUUAUGGAACUGAUUUCACUCUGACCAUCAGUGGAGUCCAGACUGAAGAUGCAGGACAUUAUUACUGUCAGAGUGCACACAUCAUCAGUGGCAGUUAUGUGUUCACACAGUGA